UGUUUGGGUCUCACGCGACGGGAAUCUGUGAACCGUGUCAGGUCGGGAACGAAGCAGCACUAAGCAGAACCUUCCGGGUGCCGUGAGGGUGCCUGGGCUGAGU
This 103-nucleotide signal recognition particle RNA is filed under the name [Clostridium] nexile DSM 1787. RNAcentral describes it as "Tyzzerella nexilis DSM 1787 Bacterial signal recognition particle RNA". It matches the Rfam family "Bacterial small signal recognition particle RNA". From Rfam's summary of the family: The signal recognition particle (SRP) is a universally conserved ribonucleoprotein involved in the co-translational targeting of proteins to membranes. Archaeal SRP consists of a 7S RNA and homologues of the eukaryotic SRP19 and SRP54 proteins. In most bacteria, the SRP consists of a 4.5S RNA and the Ffh protein (a homologue of the eukaryotic SRP54 protein). Lineage: Bacteria; Bacillati; Bacillota; Clostridia; Lachnospirales; Lachnospiraceae. The record is from RNAcentral.